AGUGAACGCUGGCGGUAGGCCUAACACAUGCAAGUCGAACGGCAGCACAGUAAGAGCUUGCUCUUACGGGUGGCGAGUGGCGGACGGGUGAGGAAUACAUCGGAAUCUACUUUUUCGUGGGGGAUAACGUAGGGAAACUUACGCUAAUACCGCAUACGACCUACGGGUGAAAGCAGGGGAUCUUCGGACCUUGCGCGAUUGAAUGAGCCGAUGUCGGAUUAGCUAGUUGGCGGGGUAAAGGCCCACCAAGGCGACGAUCCGUAGCUGGUCUGAGAGGAUGAUCAGCCACACUGGAAAUGAGAAACGGUCCAGACUCCUACGGGAGGCAGCAGUGGGGAAUAUUGGACAAAGGGCGCAAGCCUGAUCCAGCCAUACCGCGUGGGUGAAGAAGGCCUUCGGGUUGUAAAGCCCUUUUGUUGGGAAAGAAAAGCAGCAGGUUAAUACCCCGCUGUUCUGACGGUACCCAAAGAAUAAGCACCGGCUAACUUCGUG
Molecule: ribosomal RNA, 492 nt
Filed under: uncultured bacterium
Lineage: Bacteria
Description: partial 16S ribosomal RNA
Rfam family: Bacterial small subunit ribosomal RNA
Source: RNAcentral